GGAUUCGAACCCGCAUCGUGAGAAGGGGGCGCUUACCCGACUGAGCUACCACCGCUCGCUAAACUGUAUCGCUUAUACUACAAGAAAUUCAACAUCAUCUUGAAUUUAUUUCCACCAGAAAUAAUGCAGUUACUCCAAUGAACCAGUUGUUAUGCACACUCCGAUAUUAUGCAACUGGCAGUCAGUUAAUUACUUGUGGAGAUGUGAUAGGUGUGGAAGAACCAACAGCUUGCAGAAUCAUUCAUUCAUAGAGUUACUCAUGCAAUAGCAUUAUUGUAUAAAAUAUACAUUAAAUCUCCUGAUACCAUUCAGGAACAACGUUUUGCUCUCUAUAAUGUGCAAGUAUGGUUCCAAUACAUUGCACAAUAAAUCUUGUUCUUCCCUUGUAAAAUUAGGGGCACGAACACGAGAAGAAGUUGCUUGACUAUUCAUUU
Molecule: non-coding RNA, 434 nt
Organism: Plutella xylostella (diamondback moth)
Lineage: Eukaryota; Metazoa; Arthropoda; Insecta; Lepidoptera; Plutellidae
Source: RefSeq, a predicted model, not a curated record